GUCGAGAAUCUUUCACAAUGGGGGCAACCCUGAUGGAGCGACGCCGCGUGGAGGAUAAGGUCUUCGGAUUGUAAACUCCUGUCAUGCGUGAACAAGGUUGCUUGGUUAAUACCUGGGCAAAUUGAUGGUAACGCAAGAGGAAGAGACGGCUAACUCUGUGCCAGCAGCCGCGGUAAUACAGAGGUCUCAAGCGUUGUUCGGAAUCACUGGGCGUAAAGGGUGCGUAGGUGGCGUGGUAAGUCAGAUGUGAAAGACCGGGGCUCAACCUCGGAACUGCAUCCGAUACUGCCAUGCUAGAGUACUGGAGAGGUGACUAGAAUUCUCGGUGUAGCAGUGAAAUGCGUAGAUAUCGAGAGGAAUACCAAAGGCGUAGGCAGGUCACUGGACAGUUACUGACACUGAGGCACGAAGGCCAGGGGAGCGAACGGGAUUAGAAACCCCUGUAGUCC
This 449-nucleotide ribosomal RNA is filed under the name uncultured bacterium. Its description in RNAcentral is "partial 16S ribosomal RNA". It matches the Rfam family "Bacterial small subunit ribosomal RNA", at positions 354 to 796 of the family's 1533-position model. The record is from RNAcentral.